UAAUGUUCUUGUAGGAUGACAAGUUGUCGCAUCUCGAGCAUGUCUCACAAGAGAGUGGAAUGAAGUCCAUUGUACUGUUGGGAUAGUAGCAGAUGUGCCAUUGUUCUAUUGUGCAAUUUUGUCCAUUCUUGCUAUAUUCCUGUGUAAGGAAAUGUAUUCAUGAGAUGAGUUAUUUUGUUAUGUAAACCCGAGAGAUGUAUUAUGUGAUGUUAUAUGAUG
RNAcentral lists this long non-coding RNA (219 nucleotides) under Hordeum vulgare. RNAcentral's name for it is "long non-coding RNA (HVUL_LNC003858)". The record is from RNAcentral. Lineage: Eukaryota; Viridiplantae; Streptophyta; Magnoliopsida; Poales; Poaceae.